Long non-coding RNA from Gymnodraco acuticeps, 928 nucleotides. RefSeq lists it as uncharacterized. NCBI's taxonomy places the organism in Eukaryota, Metazoa, Chordata, Actinopteri, Perciformes, Bathydraconidae. The record is from RefSeq and is a predicted model, not a curated record. The transcript has 6 exons.
AUUGUGAAUGCCUAUCUAUCAUGGAUUGGGGCCAAAGCUGGGGUAUUGAUUUGUUAUUCCUACCUCAUGACUUCCCUCUGGCAAGGAACCCACAAAGGAGGUUUAAGAAAGAUCGCUGUAAAAAUCACUCACCCUAAACGGCAGGAUUUGACUUCAUGCGGUGUGGCAGCCAGAGCAGUCUGUGACAGGGUACACUGGACACUCAAUAUCAUGUAUCUGAAAGAAAACCGGUCCCUGUUCUUUGACCCAUUCGGGGCCAAUGAAGAGCAGUUAAUCAGAUGCAAAGAUUUAACAAGAUCGCUGUAAAAAUCACUCGCCCUAAAUGGCAGGAUUCGACUUCAUGCGGUGUGUUUGUUGGCAAGCUCUGUCAGGCUUGUGGGGAAUUGAGCUCAGGUUCUAAGGUUGACCAAUGGACCAACAUUUGGCGGGAAGACUGGGAUACACCCUGGAUUGGUUACCUCAACAUCACCGGGUGAACACUCACUGUAACAGAUAUUGAAAAUGUUGACUUUAAUUCACUAAACUUGCAUGUCUUUGCACUAUGGGAGGACACUGGAGCAGUUAAAGAAACCUCUGAGCACAGACUCUAAACAGAAAGGAUAACAGCUAAGAUCCCAACCUAUACAUUGCUUGUUUAAUUAAAUGUAAACAAUUGAUUACUGCUUACUCUGGAUGAGGGAUGUUAACCUAAAGAAAAUGUUUGUCAAUAUUCUAACACGUGUUUUUUAUGUUUAUUUUAAGAUUGAGUGCACUGGGUGGACUAUGCAGUACCACAUGAAAUGUGUUCGGGAGUCCUCUGUGAAUGAGGAUUAUUUUUGCAAAGCCUGCACAUUUUAGACAGUUUUUAUUUCUGUUGGGAAAAUACUCAAUAUACUCUUCCAAUAUGAGAGUACACAUGAUGACAAAGCUAAUCUAACCAAAUGCUGGA